AAAACAUGGUUUUUUGAUAAUAAUUUAAAAUUAUUUCUGCUCAGUGAUAAUUUAUUAAAUAGCCGCAGUAUAUUGACUGUGCAAAGGUAGCAUAAUCAAUUGUUUUUUAAAUGAAAACUGGAAUGAAGGGAUUGAUGAAAUUAAAACUGUUUCAAUAAAUAAUUUUAAAAAUUAAAUUUUAAGUUAAAAUUCUUAAAGGGAAUUAUGGGACGAGAAGACCCUAUUGAAUUUAAUAUAAUUUUUAAAUUUAUUUAAGGAAUUAAAAAUAAAAUUAAUUAUUUAUAUUUUGUUGGGAGGAUAAUUAAAUAAAAAUAACUUUAAUUUUUUAUAUGUGACAUAAAUUAAUGAAAUUUAAAUGAUUAAUUAUUAUUAGGGAAUUUUUUUUUAUAUAAUAAUUAUUAUUAGAAUUAAUUACCUUAGGGAUAACAGCGUAAUAUUUUUAAAAAGAUCUUAUUGAUAAGAAUGAUUGCGACCUCGAUGUUGAAUUAAAAUAAAAAUUAAAUGAAGAAGUUUAAUAUUUUAGUCUGUUCGACUAAUAAAAUUUUACGUGAUCUGAGUUCA
Molecule: ribosomal RNA, 561 nt
Filed under: Nylanderia sp. BOLD:ACO1288
Lineage: Eukaryota; Metazoa; Arthropoda; Insecta; Hymenoptera; Formicidae
Description: partial 16S ribosomal RNA
Rfam family: Archaeal large subunit ribosomal RNA (bases 422-561)
Source: RNAcentral